RNAcentral lists this ribosomal RNA (370 nucleotides) under uncultured bacterium. RNAcentral's name for it is "partial 16S ribosomal RNA". It matches the Rfam family "Bacterial small subunit ribosomal RNA", at positions 523 to 892 of the family's 1533-position model. The record is from RNAcentral.
AUACGUAGGUGGCAAGCGUUGUCCGGAUUUACUGGGCGUAAAGCGCAUGUAGGCGGUUUGGUAAGUCGGUCGUGAAAAUGCGGUGCUUAACGCCGUAUGGCGAUCGAGACUGCUGAACUUGAGUGCAGGAGAGGAAAGGGGAACUCCCAGUGUAGCGGUGAAAUGCGUAGAUAUUGGGAAGAACCCCGGUGGCGAAGGCGCCUUUCUGGACUGUGUCUGACGCUCAGAUGCGAAAGCCAGGGUAGCGAACGGGAUUAGAUACCCCGGUAGUCCUGGCCGUAAACGAUGGGUACUAGGUGUGGGAGGUAUCGACUCCUUCCGUGCCGGAGUUAACGCAAUAAGUACCCCGCCUGGGGAGUACGGCCGCAAG